RNAcentral lists this ribosomal RNA (1372 nucleotides) under uncultured bacterium. Its description in RNAcentral is "bacterial SSU rRNA". It matches the Rfam family "Bacterial small subunit ribosomal RNA", at positions 28 to 1381 of the family's 1533-position model. The record is from RNAcentral.
GAUGAACGCUGGCGGCGUGCCUAAUACAUGCAAGUCGAGCGAACGGACGAGAAGCUUGCUUCUCUGAUGUUAGCGGCGGACGGGUGAGUAACACGUGGAUAACCUACCUAUAAGACUGGGAUAACUUCGGGAAACCGGAGCUAAUACCGGAUAAUAUUUUGAACCGCAUGGUUCAAAAGUGAAAGACGGUCUUGCUGUCACUUAUAGAUGGAUCCGCGCUGCAUUAGCUAGUUGGUAAGGUAACGGCUUACCAAGGCAACGAUGCAUAGCCGACCUGAGAGGGUGAUCGGCCACACUGGAACUGAGACACGGUCCAGACUCCUACGGGAGGCAGCAGUAGGGAAUCUUCCGCAAUGGGCGAAAGCCUGACGGAGCAACGCCGCGUGAGUGAUGAAGGUCUUCGGAUCGUAAAACUCUGUUAUUAGGGAAGAACAUAUGUGUAAGUAACUGUGCACAUCUUGACGGUACCUAAUCAGAAAGCCACGGCUAACUACGUGCCAGCAGCCGCGGUAAUACGUAGGUGGCAAGCGUUAUCCGGAAUUAUUGGGCGUGAAGCGCGCGUAGGCGGUUUUUUAAGUCUGUUGUGAAAGCCCACGGCUCAACCGUGGAGGGUCAUUGGAAACUGGAAAACUUGAGUGCAGAAGAGGAAAGUGGAAUUCCAUGUGUAGCGGUGAAAUGCGCAGAGAUAUGGAGGAACACCAGUGGCGAAGGCGACUUUCUGGUCUGUAACUGACGCUGAUGUGCGAAAGCGUGGGGAUCAAACAGGAUUAGAUACCCUGGUAGUCCACGCCGUAAACGAUGAGUGCUAAGUGUUAGGGGGUUUCCGCCCCUUAGUGCUGCAGCUAACGCAUUAAGCACUCCGCCUGGGGAGUACGACCGCAAGGUUGAAACUCAAAGGAAUUGACGGGGACCCGCACAAGCGGUGGAGCAUGUGGUUUAAUUCGAAGCAACGCGAAGAACCUUACCAAAUCUUGACAUCCUUUGACAACUCUAGAGAUAGAGCCUUCCCCUUCGGGGGACAAAGUGACAGGUGGUGCAUGGUUGUCGUCAGCUCGUGUCGUGAGAUGUUGGGUUAAGUCCCGCAACGAGCGCAACCCUUAAGCUUAGUUGCCAUCAUUAAGUUGGGCACUCUAAGUUGACUGCCGGUGACAAACCGGAGGAAGGUGGGGAUGACGUCAAAUCAUCAUGCCCCUUAUGAUUUGGGCUACACACGUGCUACAAUGGACAAUACAAAGGGCAGCGAAACCGCGAGGUCAAGCAAAUCCCAUAAAGUUGUUCUCAGUUCGGAUUGUAGUCUGCAACUCGACUACAUGAAGCUGGAAUCGCUAGUAAUCGUAGAUCAGCAUGCUACGGUGAAUACGUUCCCGGGUCU